Small nuclear RNA from Camellia sinensis, 200 nucleotides. RefSeq annotates it as U2 spliceosomal RNA. Lineage: Eukaryota; Viridiplantae; Streptophyta; Magnoliopsida; Ericales; Theaceae. The record is from RefSeq and is a predicted model, not a curated record.
AUACCUUUCUCGGCCUUUCGGCUAAGAUCAAUUGUACUAUCUGUUUUUAUCAGUUUAAUAUCUGAUAUAUGGGCCAUUGGCCCAUAAUAAUAUUAAAUUUAUUUGUUUCAGGGGAGAGGCCCAUCUCAGUAGCUUGCUGCUUCGGUCCUUGAGCGUCACCCGGGGCUUUGCAGUACUCUGCCUGGGCCUGCGCACCACAC